UGAUGGGGUUUAAACCAAAGACAUUACACUAGGUUAGCUGUUGACCAUGAUGGGGUUUAAACCAAAGACAUUACACUAGGUUAGCUGUUGACCAUGUUGGGGUUUAAACCAAAGACAUUACACUAGGUUAGCUGUUGAUCAUGAUGGGGUUUAAACCAAAGACAUUACACUAGGUUAGCUGCUGAUCAUGAUGGGGUUUAAACCAAAGACAUUACACUAGGUUAGCUAGCUGUUGACCAUGUUGGGGUUUAAACCAAAGACAUUACACUAGGUUAGCUGUUGACCAUGAUGGGGUUUAAACCAAAGACAUUACACUAGGUUAGCUGUUGACUGUUGUGGGGUUUAAACCAAAGACAUUACACUAGGUUAGCUGUUGACUGUUGUGGGGUUUAAACCAAAUACAUUACACUAGGUUAGCUGUUGACCAUGUUGGGGUUUAAACCAAAGACAUUACACUAGGUUAGCUAGCUGCUGACCAUGAUGGGGUUUAAACCAAAGACAUUACACUAGGUUAGCUGUUGACCAUGAUGGGGUUUAAACCAAAGACAUUACACUAGGUUAGCUGCUGACCAUGAUGGGGUUUAAACCAAAGACAUUACACUAGGUUAGCUGUUGACCAUGAUGGGGUUUAAACCAAAGACAUUACACUAGGUUAGCUGCUGAUCAUGAUGGGGUUUAAACCAAAGACAUUACACUAGGUUAGCUGUUGACCAUGAUGGGGUUUAAACCAAAGACAUUACACUAGGUUAGCUGUUGGCCAUGAUGGGGUUUAAACCAAAGACAUUACACUAGGUUAGCUGUUGACCAUGAUGGGGUUUAAACCAAAGACAUUACACUAGGUUAGCUGUUGACCAUGAUGGGGUUUAAACCAAAGACAUUACACUAGGUUAGCUAGCUGUUGACCAUGAUGGGGUUUAAACCAAAGACAUUACACUAGGUUAGCUGUUGACCAUGAUGGGGUUUAAACCAAAGACAUUACACUAGGUUAGCUGUUGACCAUGAUAGGGUUUAAACCAAAGACAUUACACUAGGUUAGCUAGUUGCUGACCAUGAUAGGGUUUAAACCAAAGACAUUACACUAGGCUGGUCAUUUGUUGCCUAGAUGAAGGUGAAUGAGAGAAGUGGUGAAUGAAAAACAGAAUGACUCUUCCAUAAACUCCCAUAACAUAUCAUAACAUACUAAAAACAACCAUAACAACCAAAUCCUUUACAUCACACACGCAAUGGACAUUCCAGUUAACAUACAUACAUACCAUAACACACAGUUAUUACUAACAUAACUUAAACUUUAUCAAAAUAGGCGAGUAUUAUAAGGCACUAUAUAGUCUAAACUUAACAAUACUUAUUUGAUGCUGUUUGGAAAUACCACAAGUUGUUGCUCAUUCAUUGCUGUGAUACACACAAAAGGAUGACAUCAUCUACUUGUGCCAUGACAAGACAAAAAUGUAUCUACUUCCUGGGUCAAAGGUCCUUGAAACGGACACGUUUCAUUGGGCAGGUGCAAUAUCAGUCAUAAUAACACCGUGGUGCCUGAAAAGAUAGGUCCUCGUCAACAUUAUACAUGGCGAAACUUGAGUAGUGAGACACUUGACAGAAAUAUAAUAGUCACACAUAUACUUAUUGCACGGGUACUGAAUCAGAGAGAGAACGCUUAUAUAUCUGGGAGCAUUCCAAUGAGAAAAUUACCUUCACCCAUUCCUCCCUCCUUUCCUCCAUCCCUCCCUCCUUUCCCCAUCCCUCCCUCCAUCCCUCCCUCCUUUCCUCCCUCCUUUCCUCCAUCCCUCCCUCCCUCCUUUCCUCAUCCCUCCCUCCCUCCUUUCACCCAUCCCUCCCUCCUUCACCC
This 1843-nucleotide long non-coding RNA is filed under the name Salmo salar (Atlantic salmon). RNAcentral describes it as "lncRNA (ENSSSAG00000114727.1)". The record is from RNAcentral. Lineage: Eukaryota; Metazoa; Chordata; Actinopteri; Salmoniformes; Salmonidae.